RNAcentral lists this ribosomal RNA (434 nucleotides) under uncultured Lachnospiraceae bacterium. Its description in RNAcentral is "bacterial SSU rRNA". It matches the Rfam family "Bacterial small subunit ribosomal RNA", at positions 341 to 792 of the family's 1533-position model. Lineage: Bacteria; Bacillati; Bacillota; Clostridia; Lachnospirales; Lachnospiraceae. The record is from RNAcentral.
ACGGAAGGCAGCAGUGGGGAAUAUUGGACAAUGGGGGAAACCCUGAUCCAGCGACGCCGCGUGAGUGAAGAAGUAUUUCGGUAUGUAAAGCUCUAUCAGCAAGGAAGAAAAUGACGGUACUUGACUAAGAAGCCCCGGCUAACUACGUGCCAGCAGCCGCGGUAAUACGUAGGGGGCAAGCGUUAUCCGGAUUUACUGGGUGUAAAGGGAGCGUAGACGGUAUGGCAAGUCUGAAGUGAAAUGCAUGGGCUCAACCCAUGAACUGCUUUGGAAACUGUCAAACUAGAGUGCAGGAGAGGUAAGUGGAAUUCCUAGUGUAGCGGUGAAAUGCGUAGAUAUUAGGAGGAACACCAGUGGCGAAGGCGGCUUACUGGGCUGUAACUGACGUUGAGGCUCGAAAGCGUGGGGAGCAAACAGGAUUAGAUACCCUGGUA